This 103-nucleotide small RNA is filed under the name Marmota monax (woodchuck). The record is from RNAcentral. Lineage: Eukaryota; Metazoa; Chordata; Mammalia; Rodentia; Sciuridae.
GUUGGGUGCAGCAGCGCAUGCCUGUAAUCCUAGCUACUUGGGAGGCUGAAGCAGGAGGAUUGUAAGAGGCCAGCCUGGGAAUCUUAGUGAGACCCUGUCUCAA